Non-coding RNA from Pantherophis guttatus, 404 nucleotides. NCBI's taxonomy places the organism in Eukaryota, Metazoa, Chordata, Lepidosauria, Squamata, Colubridae. The record is from the annotation of a RefSeq genome assembly.
UAUUCUUUGGUUUUAGGAAGGGAGGCUGUUUGAAGGAAAGCACCAUGGCCUGGACACUGGUUUUCCUUUCCCUUCUUACUUAUUUCUCAUGUGUCACUUCACAGCCCACCUUGACUCAGGCUGUCUCCUAUUCUGCAUCUCCAGGAUUGACCAUUAAACUCUCCUGUGCCAUCAGUAGCAACCCAACUACUAUUGGCUGGUUUCAACAGAGAUCUGGAGAAGCUCCUCGGUUUGUGCACUAUGAUGGCAGCAGCAGCAGAGGACCAGGGAUCCCAGACCGAUUCACAGGAACCCGAUCAGGCAACAAUGGCUACUUAACCAUCACUAACCUUCAGGCUGAAGACGAGGCCGAUUAUUAUUGCUUUAUGUGGUAUAGCCACACGUCCCACAGUCAGACAAUCUAA